GACGAACGCUGGCGGCAGGCCUAACACAUGCAAGUCGAACGAACCUUUCGGGGUUAGUGGCGGACGGGUGAGUAACACGUGGGAACGUGCCUUUAGGUUCGGAAUAACUCAGGGAAACUUGUGCUAAUACCGAAUGUGCCCUUCGGGGGAAAGAUUUAUCGCCUUUAGAGCGGCCCGCGUCUGAUUAGCUAGUUGGUUGAGGUAAUGGCUCACUAAGGCGACGAUCAGUAGCUGGUCUGAGAGGAUGAUCAGCCACAUUGGGACUGAGACACGGCCCAAACUCCUACGGGAGGCAGCAGUGGGGAAUCUUGCGCAAUGGGCGAAAGCCUGACGCAGCCAUGCCGCGUGAAUGAUGAAGGUCUUAGGAUUGUAAAAUUCUUUCACCGGGGACGAUAAUGACGGUACCCGGAGAAGAAGCCCCGGCUAACUUCGUG
Molecule: ribosomal RNA, 434 nt
Filed under: uncultured bacterium
Lineage: Bacteria
Description: partial 16S ribosomal RNA
Rfam family: Bacterial small subunit ribosomal RNA
Source: RNAcentral